CAGCAGCCGCGGUAAUACGUAGGGGGCGAGCGUUGUCCAGAGUUACUGGGCGUAAAGAGCGUGUAGGCGGUUGAAAAAGUCAGGUGUGAAAUUCUUCGGCUCAACCGAGGGACUGCGCUUGAAACUUUUCGACUGGAGUUUGGGAGGGGCAACCGGAAUUCCUGGUGUAACGGUGAAAUGUGUAGAUAUCAGGAGGAACACCCGUGGCGAAGGCGGGUUGCUGGACCAAAACUGACGCUGAGACGCGAAAGCGUGGGUAGCAAACAGGAUUAGAUACCCUGGUAGUCCACGCUGUAAACGAUGAGUGCUAGGUGUAGGGGGUAUCGACUCCUUCUGUGCCGCAGCUAACGCAUUAAGCACUCCGCCUGGGGAUUACGGCCGCAAGGUUAAAACUCAAAGGAAUUGACGGGGGCCCGCACAAGCGGUGGAGUAUGUGGUUUAAUUCGAUGAUACGCGAGAAACCUUACCUGGUCUUGACAUGUUAAGAAUCCUUCAGAGAUGAGGGAGUGCUUGCUUGCAAGAACUUAAACACAGGAGGUGCAUGGCC
This 547-nucleotide ribosomal RNA is filed under the name uncultured archaeon. RNAcentral describes it as "bacterial SSU rRNA". It matches the Rfam family "Bacterial small subunit ribosomal RNA", at positions 509 to 1050 of the family's 1533-position model. The record is from RNAcentral.